GACGAACGCUGGCGGCGUGCUUAACACAUGCAAGUCGAACGGAAAGGCCCUGCUUUUGUGGGGUGCUCGAGUGGCGGACGGGUGAGUAACACGUGAGUAACCUGCCCUUGACUUUGGGAUAACUUCAGGAAACUGGUGCUAAUACCGGAUAGGAGCUCCUGCUGCAUGGUGGGGGUUGGAAAGUUUCGGCGGUUGGGGAUGGACUCGCGGCUUAUCAGCUUGUUGGUGGGGUAGUGGCUUACCAAGGCUUUGACGGGUAGCCGGCCUGAGAGGGUGACCGGCCACAUUGGGACUGAGAUACGGCCCAGACUCCUACGGGAGGCAGCAGCGGGGAAUAUUGCACAAUGGGCGGAAGCCUGAUGCAGCAACGCCGCGUGCGGGAUGACGGCCUUCGGGUUGUAAACCGCUUUCGCCUGUGACGAAGCGUGAGUGACGGUAAUGGGUAAAGAAGCACCGGCUAACUACGUG
RNAcentral lists this ribosomal RNA (468 nucleotides) under uncultured bacterium. RNAcentral's name for it is "partial 16S ribosomal RNA". It matches the Rfam family "Bacterial small subunit ribosomal RNA", at positions 28 to 507 of the family's 1533-position model. The record is from RNAcentral.